AGCGAGAAGACGGGACAAG
RNAcentral lists this unclassified non-coding RNA (19 nucleotides) under Mus musculus (house mouse). RNAcentral's name for it is "oocyte_clustered_small_RNA3746". Lineage: Eukaryota; Metazoa; Chordata; Mammalia; Rodentia; Muridae. The record is from RNAcentral.